CCUACGGGUGGCAGCAGUAGGGAAUAUUGGGCAAUGGGGGCAAGCCUGACCCAGCAACGCCGCGUGAAGGAAGAAGGCUUUCGGAUUGUAAACUUCUUUUGUCAGAGAAGAGCAUGAGGCUGUACCUCUCAAAUACACCGCGGCUAACUACGUGCCAGCAGCCGCGGUAAUACGUAGGGGGCAAGCGUUGUCCGGAUUUACUGGGUGUAAAGGGCGUGUAGCCGGGCUGACAAGUCAGAUGUGAAAUCCGGGGGCUCAACCCCCGAACUGCAUUUGAAACUGUUGGUCUAGAGUAUCGGAGAGGCAGGUGGAAUUCUUAGUGUAGCGGUGAAAUGCGUAGAGAUUAGGAGGAACACCAGUGGCGAAGGCGGCCUGCUGGACGACAACUGACGGUGAGGCGCGAAAGCGUGGGGAGCAAACAGGAUUAGAUACCCCGGUAGUC
Molecule: ribosomal RNA, 442 nt
Filed under: uncultured bacterium
Lineage: Bacteria
Description: partial 16S ribosomal RNA
Rfam family: Bacterial small subunit ribosomal RNA
Source: RNAcentral